Molecule: long non-coding RNA, 611 nt
Organism: Sinocyclocheilus anshuiensis
Lineage: Eukaryota; Metazoa; Chordata; Actinopteri; Cypriniformes; Cyprinidae
Exons: 5
Source: RefSeq, a predicted model, not a curated record
UUCCAGGUUCAGUCUGAUGUCUUCGGAUGCUUGCAACAACACGUGUAGACUGUUUUCAUUAGCCUACAUAUCCUGCAGAUGCCAGAAUCAACAGCUGAGCACAUAUUCCAGCCCAUAAACAAAUAAAACCGACACAAACUGCGAUGAAGUGAAGGAAUCGAGUGUCACUCGACUCACCUGUAAGUUUGAGUGCUUUGGGAACGAAGAGGCGUCUAACUGACCAGAAUGUGUCCGAAUCAGCUGUGCCAAUACGCUUAGACCAGAGUAGGCUUGGGUGACGCUUGGACAUGCAGAAUUAUAGAUGUGUGUGGACUGUUACACCCAGCCAACAGAAGCAUGUGGACAGACAUUGACUGUAAUGAUGGACAUCUGCUCAUGCACAGAUGAUUCCAGUUUGGGAAUUGACUCCAACAGCAGUGACAACCAUUUUUCCAGAGCCCUCCAUGACAUGAGUACCUGCACAGAGGAAGAUGAGAUAUACAACUAGGCCAUGCCUGUGCGUAUAACAGUCCAAAGGCCUCUGAAGAUCACUUGAGUCAAAGGUUAGACGCGAGCCAGGCCCCGGGCGACGACCUCUCCCCCUCCGCCGCCUCCGGUCUUCGAGAUCUCCA